RNAcentral lists this long non-coding RNA (290 nucleotides) under Mytilus galloprovincialis (Mediterranean mussel). Lineage: Eukaryota; Metazoa; Mollusca; Bivalvia; Mytilida; Mytilidae. The record is from RNAcentral.
GUCCUUUCUAAUAAUUUAUUUCAGGUCAAAUCUACAUAUUUCUUUUCUCAUCACAUCAGCUCUAUAAAACAGUUCUUAUUGUUCAUUUAUGUCCAUUUUUAAAAUCACAGCAUCCACAAUUGUAUGGCGGACUAAUAUUGUUUUUUAAUUACGUCAUCUGAGUUCCUCAUCUCAAGGUCUAUUAGGGAUCCUGACCCAUAUUAGAUCAGCAAAUGUCAGAUUCCACUUGUAUUGCAGUAUGAAUUCCUUCGGUACACCUUUUCGAACAAUUCUGUGAAGUUUUUUUCCGC